This 375-nucleotide RNase P RNA is filed under the name Salmonella enterica. RNAcentral's name for it is "RNase P RNA component class A". It matches the Rfam family "Bacterial RNase P class A". From Rfam's summary of the family: Ribonuclease P (RNase P) is a ubiquitous endoribonuclease, found in archaea, bacteria and eukarya as well as chloroplasts and mitochondria. The record is from RNAcentral. Lineage: Bacteria; Pseudomonadati; Pseudomonadota; Gammaproteobacteria; Enterobacterales; Enterobacteriaceae.
GAAGCUGACCAGACAGUCGCCGCUUCGUCGUCGUCCUUUCGGGGAGACGGGCGGAGGGGAGGAAAGUCCGGGCUCCAUAGGGCAGGGUGCCAGGUAACGCCUGGGGGGGAAACCCACGACCAGUGCAACAGAGAGCAAACCGCCGAUGGCCCACGUAAGUGGGAUCAGGUAAGGGUGAAAGGGUGCGGUAAGAGCGCACCGCGCGGCUGGUAACAGUCCGUGGCACGGUAAACUCCAUCCGGAGCAAGGCCAAAUAGGGGUUCAUAAGGUACGGCCCGUACUGAACCCGGGUAGGCUGCUUGAGCCAGUGAGCGAUUGCUGGCCUAGAUGAAUGACUGUCCACGACAGAACCCGGCUUAUCGGUCAGUUUCACCU